CGGGAAUUUUGGGCAAUGGGCGAAAGCCUGACCCAGCAACGCCGCGUGAGGGAUGAAGUAUUUCGGUAUGUAAACCUCGAAAGAAUGGGAAGAAUAAAUGACGGUACCAUUUAUAAGCUCCGGCUAACUACGUGCCAGCAGCCGCGGUAAUACGUAGGGAGCAAGCGUUGUUCGGAUUUACUGGGCGUAAAGGGCGCGUAGGCGGCGCGGUAAGUCACUUGUGAAAUCUCUGAGCUUAACUCAGAGCGGCCAAGUGAUACUGCUGUGCUAGAGUGCGGAAGAGGCAACCGGAAUUCUUGGUGUAGCGGUGAAAUGCGUAGAUAUCAAGAGGAACACCUGAGGCGAAGGCGGGUUGCUGGGCCGACACUGACGCUGAUGCGCGAAAGCCAGGGGAGCAAACG
Molecule: ribosomal RNA, 401 nt
Filed under: uncultured bacterium
Lineage: Bacteria
Description: bacterial SSU rRNA
Rfam family: Bacterial small subunit ribosomal RNA
Source: RNAcentral